This 681-nucleotide ribosomal RNA is filed under the name Triticum aestivum (bread wheat). RNAcentral's name for it is "partial small subunit ribosomal RNA". The record is from RNAcentral. Lineage: Eukaryota; Viridiplantae; Streptophyta; Magnoliopsida; Poales; Poaceae.
AUGAGUGAAUUGUUCCAGCUGUUCAAUCUGCGCGACCUCGACAAAUCUAUGCUGAGUUGCUACGUUCUAUUGAAGAUUUGGGAAUGCAAAAUAAGAAACAUCCAUGAUGUUGGGUUCAUUGACCCACAUAUCAUUAAUGGACAUGUGUUACAAUAUCACCCCGAAGACGUGGAGAAAGACUUGUACAAGUUUCUUAGAAAACAUCAACUCAAAAGUCAUAUUCUAUUUCCUUACCAUUUUGGGUUCCACUGGAUUCUGCUAAAUAUUGAACUUCACACCUCCAGAGUUCUAAUCAUGGACUCUAUGGAUUCAGAUCCAAAGCGUUGGGCCGACAUGAGAAAAAUGCUGCAAAAGGUUUGGAGACGGUUCUCAGAAAAAAUUGUCGGUGAAUUCAAACAUGAGCUAGAUUUCAGAAGGUUAGUUAAUGUGGAUAAGCAGCCACCGGGGACCAAUCUAUGUGGAUACUAUGUUUGUGAGAACAUCCGGAGACUAACCUCUGAGCGGAAGGCAUUGGAUAGCGUGCGGAACACGACGGAUAACUUGCGGAGGAGGCUUAGUCCAGAAGCUCGCUUCCGACCAAUUCAAGAUGAAUUAGCAGGAUUUUUCUUGAGGGAAGUCAUCAAUCCUAAAGGAGAACACUAUACCGAGGACGCAGACAUUUAUAUGCAUACCAGAGAUUGA